GCGUGGGACACCCUUCCCCACCGAAGGGCAACUAUCUGAAAGGGUAGAGAUA
Molecule: regulatory RNA element, 52 nt
Rfam family: serC leader
About the family: This family is a putative regulatory RNA structure that is found upstream of the serC-serA operon in some alpha-proteobacteria.
Source: Rfam